Molecule: long non-coding RNA, 1017 nt
Filed under: Zonotrichia albicollis (white-throated sparrow)
Lineage: Eukaryota; Metazoa; Chordata; Aves; Passeriformes; Passerellidae
Description: lncRNA (ENSZALG00000000902.1)
Source: RNAcentral
AUGUCAGGGCUCAUCCUCUCCUCAUUCGAACGUGGCUCCCAGGUGUUCCAGGGUGCCCUUUCUCCAGCAUCCCUGCACUCCAGGCACUCAGCGCUUCCCCUGCUCCCCGACAAUACUUUCAGGGUCGGGGAGCCCUGCCCCACUCAUCUCCCGGCUCCACCACCCAUCCAGCCAGCCUGCCGGAGCUCCCCCGGCUCUGCUAUCGCCCCUCUCCCCACGCCGGGGCUCCCCCCUUUCAUCCCCCGGCUCUCCCGGGGAUCCCCAAAACCCGUGUCGUGUCCCGCCCCGCCGGCACCGGGCGAUCGCCACGUGGCCCCCGCAAAAUCCCCCCAGGGCCAUUUACGGCUCAGCUCUGCACUCCUGCGAGAUCCAAAAAUAUCUCCUCAUCAAAUAAAUACAAAAUACCUCUCCCAGCGACACCGAAAUAUAUUUGGGACUCGACUCCGGAAUCGGCAGGGCCUAAACCACAGCAAAAUCCCCUUCUCCCCGCCAAAAAAACCCUCUCGGAGCUGCCGCGAUCGACUCGGGAUGAGCUUUCCCUCGGCGCUCACCUGCGGGACGCGGGGCAAUGCGAUGCUGCCGGGCCCAGCCGAGCUGCGGGCUCGCCGUGGAACCCCGCAACGCUCCUUCCACUGCUGCCGCUCCCGCUCCCGCUCGGCCUGCUCCCCUUCGUGCUCCUCCUGUUCCAGUUCCAGUUCCUGCUCCUCCCCUUCCCGUCUCCCUCCCCUUCCUCCCGCUCCUCCUCCGCUCCCGCCCCGGACCCUCCUUUCGCAUCGCCUCUGUCCCACGGCCGCAGCAGCAGUGGCACUGGGGCAGGGGGAGGAAUACCCAGAGCUCCCAGCGUUGGGCAGGGGCCUCGGGGACUCCCCAGUGCAGAUCCGCCCGUCCCGUCCCCCUCCCCCCGAGCUAAAAUUCCGCUCCCGGGGCUCGCUAGGUACGAGCGGUGGCGCAGGUGGGGUGGAAGUGGGGAGCGCUGGGCGCUGCGGCUCUGCCCGGGAACUGCGGAGUCACCGCUAG